RNAcentral lists this ribosomal RNA (586 nucleotides) under uncultured bacterium. RNAcentral's name for it is "partial 16S ribosomal RNA". It matches the Rfam family "Bacterial small subunit ribosomal RNA", at positions 355 to 1375 of the family's 1533-position model. The record is from RNAcentral.
UGGGGAAUUUUGGACAAUGGGCGAAAGCCUGAUCCAGCAAUGCCGCGUGUGUGAAGAAGGCCUUCGGGUUGUAAAGCACUUUUGUCCGGAAAGAAAUCCUUGGCUCUAAUACAGUCGGGGGAUGACGGUACCGGAAGAAUAAGCACCGGCUAACUACGUGCCAGCAGCCGCGGUAAUACGUAGGGUGCAAGCGUUAAUCGGAAUUACUGGGCGUAAAGCGUGCGCAGGCGGAUUGCUAAGACCGAUGUGAAAUCCCCGGGCUCAACCUGGGAACUGCAUUGGUGACUGGCAGGCUAGAGUAUGGCAGAGGGGGGUAGAAUUCCACGUGUAGCAGUGAAAUGCGUAGAGAUGUGGAGGAAUACCGAUGGCGAAGGCAGCCCCCUGGGCCAAUACUGACGCUCAUGCACGAAAGCGUGGGGAGCAAACAGGAUUAGAUACCCUGGUAGUCCAGCGCCCUAAACGAUGUCAACUAGUUGUUGGGGAUUCAUUUCCUUAGUAACGUAGCUAACGCGUGAAGUUGACCGCCUGGGGAGUACGGUCGCAAGAUUAAAACUCAAAUGAAUUGACGGGGUCAUAGCUGUUUCCU